AUUGAACGCUGGCGGCAUGCUUUACACAUGCAAGUCGAACGGCAGCACAGGGAGCUUGCUCCCGGGUGGCGAGUGGCGCACGGGUGAGUAAUACAUCGGAACGUGUCCCUGUUGUGGGGGAUAACUGCUCGAAAGGGUGGCUAAUACCGCAUGAGACCUGAGGGUGAAAGCGGGGGAUCGCAAGACCUCGCGCAAUUGGAGCGGCCGAUGCCCGAUUAGCUAGUUGGUGAGGUAAAAGGGCUCACCAAGGCGACGAUCGGUAGCUGGUCUGAGAGGACGACCAGCCACACUGGGACUGAGACACGGCCCCAGACUCCUACGGGAGGCAGCAGUGGGGAAUUUUGGGACAAUGGGGGGCAACCCUGAUCCAGCCAUGCCGCGUGCAGGAUGAAGGCCUCGGGUUGUAAACUGCUUUGUCAGGGACGAAAAGGACCGUGGUUAA
Molecule: ribosomal RNA, 442 nt
Filed under: uncultured bacterium
Lineage: Bacteria
Description: bacterial SSU rRNA
Rfam family: Bacterial small subunit ribosomal RNA
Source: RNAcentral